This 410-nucleotide ribosomal RNA is filed under the name Staphylococcus aureus. RNAcentral's name for it is "partial 23S ribosomal RNA". It matches the Rfam family "Bacterial large subunit ribosomal RNA", at positions 1573 to 1983 of the family's 2925-position model. The record is from RNAcentral. Lineage: Bacteria; Bacillati; Bacillota; Bacilli; Caryophanales; Staphylococcaceae.
AAGACAUUGUGUCUUCGAGUCGUUGAUUUCACACUGCCGAGAAAAGCCUCUAGAUAGAAAAUAGGUGCCCGUACCGCAAACCGACACAGGUAGUCAAGAUGAGAAUUCUAAGGUGAGCGAGCGAACUCUCGUUAAGGAACUCGGCAAAAUGACCCCGUAACUUCGGGAGAAGGGGUGCUCUUUAGGGUUAACGCCCAGAAGAGCCGCAGUGAAUAGGCCCAAGCGACUGUUUAUCAAAAACACAGGUCUCUGCUAAACCGUAAGGUGAUGUAUAGGGGCUGACGCCUGCCCGGUGCUGGAAGGUUAAGAGGAGUGGUUAGCUUCUGCGAAGCUACGAAUCGAAGCCCCAGUAAACGGCGGCCGUAACUAUAACGGUCCUAAGGUAGCGAAAUUCCUUGUCGGGUAAGUUC